AGGUGUCGAUUUAUCCCAAUAAAGGCAGUUAUAGCUAUCUGAGAGCUUAUGAUCUUAUUUCUUCAAUCAUAUUUCUUUGAGUUAUAUUUUUUUUAAAACAUAAUUUCUUAAAUUAUACAUGCAUAAAAUCUUAAAUAAAUUUAGAGCAAUUCAACAAUUUUCAUAGAAUUUAUAAUUCAUAGUUGGAUCAUAUAUAUAUAUAUAUCAUUGUAGUACCAAAAUAUACUUUUUACAAU
This 236-nucleotide long non-coding RNA is filed under the name Elaeis guineensis (African oil palm). RNAcentral describes it as "long non-coding RNA (EGUI_LNC006379)". Lineage: Eukaryota; Viridiplantae; Streptophyta; Magnoliopsida; Arecales; Arecaceae. The record is from RNAcentral.